This 359-nucleotide ribosomal RNA is filed under the name uncultured eukaryote. Its description in RNAcentral is "bacterial SSU rRNA". It matches the Rfam family "Eukaryotic small subunit ribosomal RNA", at positions 592 to 964 of the family's 1831-position model. The record is from RNAcentral.
CAAUAGCGUAUAUUAAAGUUGUUGCAGUUAAAAAGCUCGUAGUUGAACUUCUGUCUGUAUGUCAACCCUACAAGGAUCUGAUAAGACGGGCAUCCCCGAUCGACGGUUUACUGUACUUAAGUGUUCAUAUAACCUGAACCGGAUUUUACUUUGAAAAAUUAGAGUGUUUCAAGCAGGCGAUUUGCUGGAAUACAUUAGCAUGGAAUAAUAGAAGAUGACCACCACGCAUUUUUUUGGUAUAUUGCUGGAGGUAAUGAUUAACAGGGACGAGUUGGGGGCGAUUAGUAUUUAAUUGUCAGAGGUGAAUUCAUUGAUUAAUUAAAAGAACUAACUUAAUUGCGAAAGACAUUUGUCCAAGG